UACGUAGGGGGCGAGCGUUGUCCGGAUUUAUUGGGCGUAAAGAGCGUGUAGGCGGCCAGGUAGGUCCGUUGUGAAAACUCGAGGCUCAACCUCGAGACGCCGAUGGAAACCAUCUGACUAGAGUCCGGAAGAGGAGAGUGGAAUUCCUGGUGUAGCGGUGAAAUGCGCAGAUAUCAGGAAGAACACCCGUGGCUAAGGCGGCUCUCUAGUACGGUACUGACGCUGAGACGCGAAAGCGUGGGGAGCGAACAGG
This 253-nucleotide ribosomal RNA is filed under the name uncultured bacterium. RNAcentral's name for it is "partial 16S ribosomal RNA". It matches the Rfam family "Bacterial small subunit ribosomal RNA", at positions 524 to 776 of the family's 1533-position model. The record is from RNAcentral.